GAUGAGGUGGCGGGGUGGUUAAGGCAAUGGACUGCUAAUGCAUAGUGUUCUGCACGUGUGGGUUCAAAAACCUUCCUUGUCA
RNAcentral lists this transfer RNA (82 nucleotides) under Perca fluviatilis (European perch). Its description in RNAcentral is "tRNA-Ser". Lineage: Eukaryota; Metazoa; Chordata; Actinopteri; Perciformes; Percidae. The record is from RNAcentral.